CUGGCCUCAUGCUAUUUUAGCUCUUAGAGGAUUGGAAGUGCUUCUUACACAUCUCUUUAUUUCUUGUUUACCUUUUCUGAAGCUCAAAACAAAUAAGAGAGAGCAUGACCUGUUCCCUCUAGACAGCUCCUGCGUGAGAGCCUUCCAGAACUGUCAGCCAGCAUUUAGCCAACACCAGCCCAGUUCCAGGGUAAAAGUGACUUAGAGAAGACGCUGAGAGGCUCGCUGGUGCUCCUGUCCCAGCGCCAGGCAGCAGGUCUGGCAUGUCACAGAUGCCACAGCAGUCACCGCUGGCUGAGUGAGUGAGUCACCGGAUCCAAGAUGCAGGAAACAACCUCACCUGUCGAUCCAGGACCAGAAGAAGAAGGGGAGCCAGCUCUACUUCCAGAGGCAAAGGCAUGCAGGUCUCACGAGUCCGCCAUGAGCUCCCUGAAAAGGAACCGAUUGUACAGUCACAAUUCAUGCAUUGCUGGCUGGAAUGCAAAAAGAGGUACAACCCCCCACAGAAGGGAUCGGGAAACAGGAAUGUCUAGAAAAAGUACAUAUGCAAUCACUCUUCCAUGUAGCAACUUAUCCAUGGUAUUACAUGCCUCCUUCUCUUAAAAUUUCACCUUAAGUCGCCUCCUCCAAUAGACUUUCCUUGACUUCUCCUGCUAAAGGAGCCCUCCCCUCCCCUUACCCUAUUCCCUCUACUCGGUCAGCCUAUUCCUUCUCAUCUUAAAUUCGUCACAAGUCAAAUUCCUACUAUUUACCUAUCAUGUUUACUUGUUCAUUUUCUCUCUCAAAAGUCAGCUCAUUCUAAAAUACUAAAGGAAGGGGUGCCUGGGUGGCUCAGCUGGUCGAGUGUCCAACUCUUGAUUUUGGCUAGAUCAUGAUCUCAGGGUCAUGGGAUGGAGCCCCACACUGGGCUCUAUGCUGAGCAUGGAGUCUGCUUGGGCUUCUCUCUCUUUCCUUCUUCCCCUCUUCCCCACUCAUGUUCUCUCUCUCUCUCUCUCUCUCUCUCUCUCCCUCAGAAAAAAAAAAUAUAUAUAUAUAUAAUAAUUAAUUAAUUAAAAUACUAAAGGAAAAAGACCAAUGACCCUGUAGAAAAGAAGGGCUAGAUAAGAAGGCAAUUCACAGAAAAAGAAAUGCAAAUUGUCCUUCAACAUUUGGAAAGAUUUUUGAUCUUUCUCACAAUAACAGAAUUAUUAAUUAGAACCAUGAUAUCUUUUCUCCUGGAUGACAUAAAAAUCCAAAAAUUGGAAAAGGUAUUUUGUUGAUGAGUCAAUGGAAGCGCUAACAUAUUCAUGCAUUCUUGUUAGAAUGUAAAAAAAAAAAGUAUAACACUCAUGGGAGGGAUUGGGAAUAUCCAGCAAGAGUACCUGUGCUAUGACCCUUUGACACAGCAAUCCAUAUCCUAAGAGUCUUUCACACAGAUAUACUGACAAAAAUAUGCAAUAUCAUAAGCAUAAAGCUAUGAAUUAUAGCACUGUUUGUAAUAAAUAGCUACAGCCUGGAAACA
This 1501-nucleotide long non-coding RNA is filed under the name Felis catus (domestic cat). Its description in RNAcentral is "lncRNA (ENSFCAG00000051450.1)". Lineage: Eukaryota; Metazoa; Chordata; Mammalia; Carnivora; Felidae. The record is from RNAcentral.